RNAcentral lists this ribosomal RNA (492 nucleotides) under uncultured bacterium. Its description in RNAcentral is "partial 16S ribosomal RNA". It matches the Rfam family "Bacterial small subunit ribosomal RNA", at positions 29 to 507 of the family's 1533-position model. The record is from RNAcentral.
AGUGAACGCUGGCGGUAGGCCUAACACAUGCAAGUCGAACGGCAGCACAGUAAGAGCUUGCUCUUACGGGUGGCGAGUGGCGGACGGGUGAGGAAUACAUCGGAAUCUACUUUUUCGUGGGGGAUAACGUAGGGAAACUUACGCUAAUACCGCAUACGACCUACGGGUGAAAGCAGGGGAUCUUCGGACCUUGCGCGAUUGAAUGAGCCGAUGUCGGAUUAGCUAGUUGGCGGGGUAAAGGCCCACCAAGGCGACGAUCCGUAGCUGGUCUGAGAGGAUGAUCAGCCACACUGGAAGUGAGACACGGUCCAGACUCCUACGGGAGGCAGCAGUGGGGAAUAUUGGACAAUGGGCGCAAGCCUGAUCCAGCCAGACCGCGUGGGUGAAGAAGGCCUUCGGGUUGUAAAGCCGUUUUGUUGGGAAAGAAAAGCAGCAGGUUAAUACCCCGCUGUUCUGACGGUACCCAAAGAAUAAGCACCGGCUAACUUCGUG